GUGGCUAUUCGUACCUUCUGGAGCCUCUCUGGUGGUUCGGCAUGAUCACAGUGUAAACAAAACAUAUAGAAAUUAAUUCAGAUUUCGGCUUCAAAGGCUUGCAGAGAAAGCAGAAUGCACAAAUUCGCCUUCAACCACAGAUUCGCAGAUUCGCCUUCAACCACAGAUUCGCCUUGGAGUUUCCGACUUCCUCUGAUCGCAAGAUUUCGGCUUCAAAGGCUUGCAGAGAAAGCAGAAAACAGGACGAUUUAUUUUCAGAUUUUCCCUCUGUCGUUGCAAGUGGUGCUGAAGUCAGGUUGUGCAAGAUCAUCCAGUGUUA
This is a non-coding RNA of Camellia sinensis, 319 nucleotides long. The record is from RefSeq and is a predicted model, not a curated record. Lineage: Eukaryota; Viridiplantae; Streptophyta; Magnoliopsida; Ericales; Theaceae.